UCAAUUUAUAAACACCAUUUAUAAGUGA
Molecule: small RNA, 28 nt
Filed under: Bombyx mori (domestic silkworm)
Lineage: Eukaryota; Metazoa; Arthropoda; Insecta; Lepidoptera; Bombycidae
Description: ovarian small RNA-24938
Source: RNAcentral